AGAGGGAGACAAGCAAUGACAAAACACCAAAAACAAACUCUACUAAGGUCACAGAAACCUCCUCUUCACAAAAGAACCAGUCAGCAACGAAAAAUCUGUCUGAUGCAUGUAAACCUCUGAAGAAGCGAAAUCGGGCUUCAGCAGCAGAAUCUUCAACUCUUGCUUUUAGCAAAAGUUCAUCUCCUUCAGCUUCCUUAACUGAGAAUGAGAUCUUCGAUGGCCCAGGAGAUGAGCGCUCAGAGUCUCCCUAUGAAAGUGCUGAUGAAACUCAGACUGAAGUGUCUAUAUCAUCCAAAAAAUCUGAGCGAGGAACGGGAACAAAAAAAGAAUAUGUGUGUCAGCUAUGUGAAAAAACAGGUGAUCUCCUGCUGUGUGAAGGACUUUGCUAUCGAGCUUUUCACGUGAGCUGCCUUGGGCUCUCUGGAAGACCAGCAGGAAAAUUCGUUUGUAGUGAAUGUACAUCAGGCAAGUUUGUCCCUUUCUAUUAAAUUUUAAAAAGAAAAGGUAUCAUUUUCCCAUACACUGUUACAGGAAAUCAUCCCAUGCAGAUUGUGUAUCUGCGAACAAACUGUACUUACCUCUUGGUGCCUGAUGGUGUGGAAAUUCAUGUAUUACCAUUAACUGUGCCACGAUUUAGGAUGCUCGCUCUGUUUUCAGUGAGAAAUCUCUUGCAGAUUGGUUGACUUGCUCUGAAUUCCACUGUGUUAACAAUUGCAGGUUGUAUCUGUCUGUGUACAGUUACAGAGUAGAUUUAAGGUCUGCCACAAAGGCCUAAGAAAUCCAUGAAAAAAAAAGCAGCAAGUGAAACAUUUUAAGUCUUUUCUCAGUUCUUUUUGUGUCUACAUAUAUCUUUUGCUUUUCCCAUUAAAAGACCACCUUACUGCUAUUAAUUUAAUUUGCUUUUAAUCCUGCAAUAACUUCUUGGAAGCUCUUAAUCUCAAAAUGUUAUAUAAAAAUUUGUGUUCUUGCUUGUAAGCUCAGUUCAGUCAGGUGGUGAACCUUGCUGGAAAAAAAAAGACUGCUUCUAAAUAAGGUUGUUCCAAGCAGUCCAGAGAGCGGAUUGGAGGAUACUUGUCCUUAGUUUGUGGGCUUACAAACCAAAUUUUACAGGAUUGCAAACAAAGUAGGAUCCUGUUUCAUUGCUUUAAAAACAAAAUUCAGAGUUGUCCUGGCAUACUGAGAGUUAUGAAUAAGAACACAAAAGCAGAUCAGUGAGGCUUUGUGUAUGAUAUGCACACAUUAACUGUGGUGGAUUUCCACUGUAACUUUAUUUUUGUUGUGUUUUAUUUAUCUGUAUUUAAACAAAUGAGUAUUGAACACUGAAGAGUCAAAGCAGAUAAAUUGCUGCUUCAAAUAAUGGAAUUUAAAAA
Non-coding RNA from Meleagris gallopavo (turkey), 1370 nucleotides. The record is from RefSeq and is a predicted model, not a curated record. NCBI's taxonomy places the organism in Eukaryota, Metazoa, Chordata, Aves, Galliformes, Phasianidae.